AACGGUCUAUACCUGCGGUACCUGCGGAGGGAUCAUUACCAAUUUUUAUAUAUAUAUUAGUGUGGCGGUCUCGGUCAAACGGGAUCACACUACUACUAUUGUAAACGUUGAACUAGAUCAUUGGUUGUGGAUUGCUUGGGAAUGGACGAAGCGACAAGCCUCUUCCGGACAGGCAAACCCCACACCGAUAACCUUUUCAUACAUAUUACAACUAGUACAUACUACAAACAAACAAACAAA
Molecule: unclassified non-coding RNA, 240 nt
Filed under: soil metagenome
Description: partial contains 5.8S ribosomal RNA, internal transcribed spacer 2, and large subunit ribosomal RNA
Source: RNAcentral